AAAUAAUGUAAAAUGACUUCCUGUAAUUCUGAUAAAUUGUGUCUGCAGUUUCAACACCAACCACCACUGAACAUGCGACUACAACAGCCACGACAACCUAUGUCCAAUCCAAGACAAACCUGCCAACCAGCAAAGCAAAGGAAACCCUGACAGCGUUAACUGUAAGGUUCACUUCUGAAACAACAACAUACAGUAAAACUGUAGACUUUCAAUCUAAAUCAAACCUGCCAACCAGCACAGCAACGGAAACCAUGGUAUGGUUUAUAGUGCUGGUUUCCACUGGUGUUGCUGUCAUUUUGUCUGGACUCAUCUGUUUCUGCCGG
RNAcentral lists this long non-coding RNA (323 nucleotides) under Sinocyclocheilus grahami. RNAcentral's name for it is "lncRNA (ENSSGRG00000003690.1)". Lineage: Eukaryota; Metazoa; Chordata; Actinopteri; Cypriniformes; Cyprinidae. The record is from RNAcentral.